CGCAUCUGUGCAUGCAGCAUAUCAAUAAGCGGAGGAAAAGAAACUAACAAGGAUUCCCCUAGUAACGGCGAGUGAAGCGGGAAGAGCUCAAAUUUGAAAUCUUAAAGGGUUUCCCUUUACGAAUUGUAGUUUAAAGAAGUGUUUUCUGUUGAGGUUUUGGUAAAAGUUCUUUGGAAUAGAACAUCAUAGAGGGUGAGAAUCCCGUAUUUGACCUUUACUUUCAACUUUGUGAUACACUUUCAAAGAGUCGGAUUGUUUGGGAAUGCAGUCCAAAAUGGGUGGUAAAUUUCAUCUAAAGCUAAAUAUUGGCGAGAGACCGAUAGCGAACAAGUACCGUGAGGGAAAGAUGAAAAGAACUUUGAAAAGAGAGUUAAACAGUACGUGAAAUUGUCAAAAGGGAAGCGUUUGACACCAGUGUUGUUUUUCUGAAAAUCAAUUAAAGAACUGUUUAUGCUAAGCUGUUUAGACUUUAUCAGCUAACUGUUUAGUUUUGAGCUUUUCUUUAAUGCACUUUUCAGUUAACAAGUCAACAUCAAUUUCUUUUGCUGUAAAAAAGCUUGAGGAAGGUGGCUUGAGAUUCGUCUUAAGUGUUUAUAGCCUCUUGCCUAUGCAGUCGGAGAGAUUGAGGUCUGCAGCGUAGAUCCUUCGGGGCUAAAUGCAUUUGUGCUAAGUUAUAACAUUUUAUAGACAACUUGUUGACUAUGAUUUGUCUUGUAGCUUACUCGCUUAUGUUAUUUUACCUACGCUUAGGAUGUUGAACGCGCACAGAGUCUC
This 774-nucleotide ribosomal RNA is filed under the name uncultured Neocallimastigales. Its description in RNAcentral is "partial large subunit ribosomal RNA". It matches the Rfam family "Eukaryotic large subunit ribosomal RNA", at positions 26 to 635 of the family's 3401-position model. The record is from RNAcentral. Lineage: Eukaryota; Fungi; Neocallimastigomycota; Neocallimastigomycetes; Neocallimastigales.